This 305-nucleotide ribosomal RNA is filed under the name uncultured bacterium. RNAcentral describes it as "bacterial SSU rRNA". It matches the Rfam family "Bacterial small subunit ribosomal RNA", at positions 337 to 640 of the family's 1533-position model. The record is from RNAcentral.
UCCUACGGGGGGCAGCAGUGAGGAAUAUUGGUCAAUGGCCGCAGGGCUGAACCAGCCAAGUCGCGUGAGGGAUGACGGUCCUAUGGAUUGUAAACCUCUUUUGUCAGGGAGCAAAGGGCGCCACGUGUGGCGUUUUGCGAGUACCUGAAGAAAAAGCAUCGGCUAACUCCGUGCCAGCAGCCGCGGUAAUACGGAGGAUGCGAGCGUUAUCCGGAUUUAUUGGGUUUAAAGGGUGCGCAGGCGGAAUGUCAAGUCAGCGGUAAAAUUUCGGGGCUCAACCCCGUCGGGCCGUUGAAACUGACGCC